Molecule: transfer RNA, 71 nt
Filed under: Gekko gecko (tokay)
Lineage: Eukaryota; Metazoa; Chordata; Lepidosauria; Squamata; Gekkonidae
Description: tRNA-Leu
Rfam family: tRNA
About the family: Transfer RNA (tRNA) molecules are approximately 80 nucleotides in length. Their secondary structure includes four short double-helical elements and three loops (D, anti-codon, and T loops).
Source: RNAcentral
ACUUUUAUAGGAUAACAGUAAUCCCCUAGCCUUAGGAGCUAUCUUCUCUGGUGCAAUUCCAGAUAAAAGCA